Long non-coding RNA from Antechinus flavipes (yellow-footed antechinus), 575 nucleotides. RefSeq lists it as uncharacterized. The transcript is spliced from 3 exons. The record is from RefSeq and is a predicted model, not a curated record. Lineage: Eukaryota; Metazoa; Chordata; Mammalia; Dasyuromorphia; Dasyuridae.
CUUGGAGAAGGUAAGUGAGGAAGAUCAAAGUAGUGUGCAGUAGAUAAAAAUCAGAAUUUAACAAUAUGAUUCUUUGAUCAGAAACAUCAAGUGAGGAACCAUAAAAGAGAGAUGAAGACUAGCCAGAUGUACAUCACAUUAAUGGAUAAGAUUCACUGAAGCAAAAGAGGAUUUUCUUGUGGAUAAGGGUUCUUCAGAUGUUCCCUUUUUCUUUUUUUUUCUUAUGAGUUUGUGGGUUGUAUAAAUCCUACAACACUGGAGAAACUGUGGGAAAAGGUACAGUACCUGGCACAAGAAUAUGAUCUGGCUCGAAGCUUGGGAAGAUGUUCUAAAAAAAAAAAAUUCAAUAUUAAAAAGGAACAAUGAUCUUAUCACAUCAACAUCCCCUACAACAGAAGACUAAAUGACAUGCUUUCCAUUCAGGUUCAACAUUGAAGAAGUGCUGCAUUCUAUCUGUGAAUACAUAGAGUUGAGACACAGAGAAAGAAGAUGAAACAAGGUUUUUACUUCUGGUUAAGAAUCACUCAGGAAGUUGAAAAGCUCAAAUACAACAAUUUAAAUAAAAAUUAACACUA